GAUGAACGCUGGCGAGAUGCCUUACACAUGCAAGUCAUACGAGAAUUUUUAAUUCAAGUGGCGGACGGGUGAGUAACACGUAAGAAUUUGCCUUUAGAGGGGGACAACAACUGGAAACGGUUGCUAAUACCCCAUAUGCUUUCGAGUGAAACGGAUUUUUCCGCCUAGAGAGAAGCUUGCGGCUGAUUAGCUUGUUGGUAAGGUAAUGGCUUACCAAGGCGACGAUCAGUAUCUGGUUUGAGAGGAUGAUCAGACACACUGGAACUGAGACACGGUCCAGACUCCUACGGGAGGCAGCAGUGGGGAAUUUUCCGCAAUGGGCGAAAGCCUGACGGAGCAAUCUCGCGUGAGGGAUGACGGCCUAUGGGUUGUAAACCUCUUUUUUCAGGGAGGAAUAAAUGACGUGUACCUGAAGAAUAAGCAUCGGCUAACUCCGUG
RNAcentral lists this ribosomal RNA (438 nucleotides) under uncultured bacterium. Its description in RNAcentral is "bacterial SSU rRNA". It matches the Rfam family "Bacterial small subunit ribosomal RNA", at positions 28 to 507 of the family's 1533-position model. The record is from RNAcentral.